Molecule: transfer RNA, 83 nt
Filed under: Cordylochernes scorpioides
Lineage: Eukaryota; Metazoa; Arthropoda; Arachnida; Pseudoscorpiones; Chernetidae
Description: tRNA-Glu
Source: RNAcentral
UGCCCAACGCGGGAAUUGAACCCGGGUCGUAGCGGUCGAAGACCAACCGUUUAGACCAUUCUUCCACCGAACCUCAGAUGGGU